UUGAUCAGCAUCAAUAGCCGAGUCGAUUGACGGGUGGCCGGACCAGUUCGCCACUCGGUAGAUCGCAGCCAAUCCUCACGUCGUUGGCAUCACUAUGCGAUGCCAAUGCCAAUCCUCUGACAAUGCAAGCCAAUAACUAACUUGUUUUACCCAGCCACUUUUCAGUCAUGUCUGCUACUACACAUAUUUAGAUAAGCAGUAGGCGCCACACUUAUUGUAUAAUGUGCCAUUUCAAAUACAACUCUCUCAUUUGAGAGACUGCCAGUUUUGUUCGCAUUGUCGAACACACCACUAAACAAAUCACAUCAGAAAAAUUCAGAAAAAAAAGCAAAAAAACAAUUUUCAAAUUUCAAUGGUCGAAAUUUGGAGGCCUUACCAGUGACGCUGCCCCAUACGAUGGCCGUGACGUCACUCCAACUUCAAGAAGUCAGCAGCCAUCUCCAACGACGAGGCCAGCCGCUACAACGACACUGGCCAACGAGCCAAAGCCAAUACCAUCGACAAUGCAUCCUGGGUGGCCGGACCAACAGCCACUCGGAUGCAGCCAAUUCCAAUUAAUAGGAAACCUACUUAAAUUAUAAUGACUUAAUGGUUCUGCUAAAUCUGCCUUUCCGUCUCUACGACCGUGGCAGACGAGCGUAAUGGAAACGGAAGGAGGACGAAGGACGAAGCCGCAUAGAAGAAACGCCUGAGCCAUUGUUUCUUUUAUUAUUUUUUUUCCACAUUUUGCUUUUUUAAAAAAAAUCCACUUAGUUCUUAAUCUCCAGUAAAAAGAAUUCCGAAAUAAUAUUUUUCAAAAUUU
This is a long non-coding RNA of Drosophila pseudoobscura, 802 nucleotides long. RefSeq lists it as uncharacterized. The transcript has 2 exons. The record is from RefSeq and is a predicted model, not a curated record. Lineage: Eukaryota; Metazoa; Arthropoda; Insecta; Diptera; Drosophilidae.